GGGCCCGCACAAGCGGUGGAGCAUGUGGUUUAAUUCGAUGCAACGCGAAGAACCUUACCUACUCUUGACAUCCACAGAAUCUAAAAGAGAUUUUAGAGUGCCUUCGGGAACUGUGAGACAGGUGCUGCAUGGCUGUCGUCAGCUCGUGUUGUGAAAUGUUGGGUUAAGUCCCGCAACGAGCGCAACCCUUAUCCUUAUUUGCCAGCGAUUCGGUCGGGAACUCUAAGGAGACUGCCGGUGAUAAACCGGAGGAAGGUGGGGACGACGUCAAGUCAUCAUGGCCCUUACGAGUAGGGCUACACACGUGCUACAAUGGUACAUACAAAGGGCUGCAAUCUCGCAAGAGCUAGCUAAUCCCAUAAAGUGUAUCGUAGUCCGGAUUGGAGUCUGCAACUCGACUCCAUG
RNAcentral lists this ribosomal RNA (405 nucleotides) under uncultured bacterium. Its description in RNAcentral is "bacterial SSU rRNA". It matches the Rfam family "Bacterial small subunit ribosomal RNA", at positions 917 to 1322 of the family's 1533-position model. The record is from RNAcentral.